GACGAACGCUGGCGGCGUGCUUAACACAUGCAAGUCGAACGGAAAGGCCCUGCUUUUGUGGGGUGCUCGAGUGGCGAACGGGUGAGUAACACGUGAGUAACCUGCCCUUGACUUUGGGAUAACUUCAGGAAACUGGGGCUAAUACCGGAUAGGAGCUCCUGCUGCAUGGUGGGGGUUGGAAAGUUUCGGCGGUUGGGGAUGGACUCGCGGCUUAUCAGCUUGUUGGUGGGGUAGUGGCUUACCAAGGCUUUGACGGGUAGCCGGCCUGAGAGGGUGACCGGCCACAUUGGGACUGAGAUAGGGCCCAGACUCCUACGGGAGGCAGCAGUGGGGAAUAUUGCACAAUGGGCGGAAGCCUGAUGCAGCGACGCCGCGUGCGGGAUGACGGCCUUCGGGUUGCAAACCGCUUUCGCCUGUGACGAAGCGUGAGUGACGGUAAUGGGUAAAGAAGCACCGGCUAACUACGUG
This 468-nucleotide ribosomal RNA is filed under the name uncultured bacterium. RNAcentral's name for it is "partial 16S ribosomal RNA". It matches the Rfam family "Bacterial small subunit ribosomal RNA", at positions 28 to 507 of the family's 1533-position model. The record is from RNAcentral.